This 1281-nucleotide ribosomal RNA is filed under the name Campylobacter lari. Its description in RNAcentral is "partial 23S ribosomal RNA". It matches the Rfam family "Bacterial large subunit ribosomal RNA", at positions 1625 to 2904 of the family's 2925-position model. The record is from RNAcentral. Lineage: Bacteria; Pseudomonadati; Campylobacterota; Epsilonproteobacteria; Campylobacterales; Campylobacteraceae.
AGUUUAGCUAAUGUUGCCCGUACCGUAAACCGACACAGGUGGGUGGGAUGAGUAUUCUAAGGCGCGUGGAAGAACUCUCUUUAAGGAACUCUGCAAAAUAGCACCGUAUCUUCGGUAUAAGGUGUGGUUCGCUUCGUAUUAGGAUUUACUCCGAAAGCGAAGAAACUUACAACAAAGAGUCCCUCCCGACUGUUUACCAAAAACACAGCACUCUGCUAACUCGUAAGAGGAUGUAUAGGGUGUGACGCCUGCCCGGUGCUCGAAGGUUAAUUGAUGGGGUUAGCAUUAGCGAAGCUCUUGAUCGAAGCCCGAGUAAACGGCGGCCGUAACUAUAACGGUCCUAAGGUAGCGAAAUUCCUUGUCGGUUAAAUACCGACCUGCAUGAAUGGCGUAACGAGAUGGGAGCUGUCUCAAAGAGGGAUCCAGUGAAAUUGUAGUGGAGGUGAAAAUUCCUCCUACCCGCGGCAAGACGGAAAGACCCCGUGGACCUUUACUACAGCUUGACACUGCUAUUUGGAUAAGAAUGUGCAGGAUAGGUGGGAGGCUUUGAGUAUAUGACGCCAGUUGUAUAUGAGCCAUUGUUGAGAUACCACUCUUUCUUAUUUGGGUAGCUAACCAGCUUGAGUUAUCCUCAAGUGGGACAAUGUCUGGUGGGUAGUUUGACUGGGGCGGUCGCCUCCCAAAUAAUAACGGAGGCUUACAAAGGUUGGCUCAGAACGGUUGGAAAUCGUUCGUAGAGUAUAAAGGUAUAAGCCAGCUUAACUGCAAGACAUACAAGUCAAGCAGAGACGAAAGUCGGUCUUAGUGAUCCGGUGGUUCUGUGUGGAAGGGCCAUCGCUCAAAGGAUAAAAGGUACCCCGGGGAUAACAGGCUGAUCUCCCCCAAGAGCUCACAUCGACGGGGAGGUUUGGCACCUCGAUGUCGGCUCAUCGCAUCCUGGGGCUGGAGCAGGUCCCAAGGGUAUGGCUGUUCGCCAUUUAAAGCGGUACGCGAGCUGGGUUCAGAACGUCGUGAGACAGUUCGGUCCCUAUCUGCCGUGGGCGUAAGAAGAUUGAAGAGAUUUGACCCUAGUACGAGAGGACCGGGUUGAACAAACCACUGGUGUAGCUGUUGUUCUGCCAAGAGCAUCGCAGCGUAGCUAAGUUUGGAAAGGAUAAACGCUGAAAGCAUCUAAGCGUGAAGCCAACUCUAAGAUGAAUCUUCUCUAAGCUCUCUAGAAGACUACUAGUUUGAUAGGCUGGGUGUGUAAUGGAUGAAAGUCCUUUAGCUGACCAGUACUAA